GUGAGGAAUAUUGCGCAAUGGAGGCAACUCUGACGCAGCCAUGCCGCGUGCAGGAAGAAGGCGCUACGCGUUGUAAACUGCUUUUAACCGGGAAGAAACCCCAGGACGUGUCCUGGGUUGACGGUACCGGAGGAAUAAGCACCGGCUAACUUCGUGCCAGCAGCCGCGGUAAUACGAAGGGUGCAAGCGUUAUCCGGAUUCAUUGGGUUUAAAGGGUGCGUAGACGGAGCGUUAAGUCAGUGGUGAAAUCCUGCAGCUUAACUGUAGACUUGCCAUUGAUACUGGCGGUCUUGAGUGAGCUUGAAGUGGGCGGAAUGUGCCGUGUAGCGGUGAAAUGCUUAGAUAUGGCACAGAACACCAAUUGAGAAGGCAGCUCACUAAGGCGAUACUGACGCUGAGGCACGAAAGCGUGGGGAUCGAACAGGAUUAGAAACCCGUGUAGUCC
RNAcentral lists this ribosomal RNA (445 nucleotides) under uncultured bacterium. RNAcentral's name for it is "partial 16S ribosomal RNA". It matches the Rfam family "Bacterial small subunit ribosomal RNA", at positions 354 to 796 of the family's 1533-position model. The record is from RNAcentral.